Molecule: long non-coding RNA, 3649 nt
Filed under: Sus scrofa (pig)
Lineage: Eukaryota; Metazoa; Chordata; Mammalia; Artiodactyla; Suidae
Description: lncRNA (ENSSSCG00000061741.1)
Source: RNAcentral
AAGAAAUACAGAUAAGAUGGGUAAAAUCCUCAUUAGCAAAAGAAUCUUUUAAAACCUGUGAGAGCCUUAGAAUAGCCUCUAAUAAUCCCAAGAGAGGAGAAAGCACCCAGCCUUGCUGUGGGUGUACCUUUGGAAAACAGGCAGUAGACCAUCUCUUCAUUGGAGCCAGCUUCUCCUUCUCCAGAAAGGAUGCUUUUCCCCUACAUAAAGAGCAGCAAAAACAAAAAACAAAACAAAACAAAAAAAAAACGGGGAGGAGUUUUUUUACUUGUUUGAAGAAUUAUAAUAAACUAAUUUGAGUAUCUCCUGUGAGUAAUUCCUUUUUGUUUUUAAUUAUCCACAGCAUGUGGCGUUUUCAGUAAUCAAGUUUUGCAUAAGUGGUUCCUUCAAAUUAUUUAUUAAAUAGAAUCAAGGAAAUUUUUUGAAAGUUUUACUUUUCACGCUAAACAAUACUUUCAAUGUGUGGUAAUUACUAACAUCCAUAUCCCUCAUAUUACUGGGAUUUCUUUUGUUUAAAAAAAAAAGGUGUGUUUUUUUUUUAAUCUCUCAUCAAGAGGGUUUGUGGCAGCUUUUUGGACUGAUUCUUCACAUCAUGCUGAGCAAUUGCUUUGCCAUCCAAAGCUGUGAGGUCACAGAAUACCGCCUCACCUGUAGACGCCAGCGCCUGCUCUGCUCCUCACUCAGAAGGUAAAGCAGCCAGCCUGGAAAUGCCUAAUCUGUGCAUUCAGAAACCAAACUCAUACGCACAAGAUAUCAAGGAGGCAGAAAGUAAAUUCGUGUUUGCUUUGUAAUUUUUUUAAUGUCAAAACAGCCAACCAGAAAUUUCCAAAACUGGCUAUGCAAAUAUUUUACCUUUCUCAAGCUCUGCCAAGUUAAAAAAAAAGAAAGAAAGAAAGGCAAACUGAGAAUUAAAACGGUCCAUUUAUAGUAUCAAAGAAAAAAGGAAAACCUUCAAAACCAGGCAGGGUAAUUCCUAGGUAUUAUGAAAAACAGUGACCUGUUCUCACUUCUUGAAUUUCAAAGUCACCUCUGUACCACCCCCAUCUGACCUACGUGCCAUGACUAAGAGCCUGAGAUCCAGCCCCCGGCCCCCACCAGGCUCCCCUGACCCUUGCCAGGUGGAAGGCCACUGAUUUCUCAGUGGUCAAAGGCCACUACACGGGCCAGAGCACCUGGGGGUGCCAUUCCCAGCUGACACGAUGCCCCCUGGGUCCACAUCGUUUACAAAUAGCCGUUUCCUCUUAUGAGAGAUCUAGAGCCAUCCUUCCUCUAAACAGAAGUUAAAAAUGUGAGGGAACAUACUGCUAAUGGUACUGGUCCAGCCCCGCAAUGUUCACAAGAGCUCUUUAGCCCUGGUUCCUGGCCAGACACGUCUCAGACCAAAUUAGUUCAUCAGGCUAGAUGGCAACUAUUAGAAACUGCUGUGUUUUUCACAUGUGGGUCAAGAGGUCCCUUAAUGUCCUUUUGUGACUGGAGGCCCUUUGUGGAACAGGGAAAAGGAAGUCGAUUUGGGGUGCUGGAGAAGAGGAAGGCGGCCAAUCCCAACCCUAGAAAGGCUUCGAGCCCUGUCAGGGCAUAGGUCCUGGACUCGGGCUGCGCAGCUGACCCUGCCAGUGGGCCGCCUUCCUGUCCUGUCUGGUCUGGCCACACUUCCCUUUCUGGGAAGAUGAAUGUCCCUAAGUGACAGCACGUUUCCAGAAGAAUCCCAGAUACUUCUAAACCCCAGUGGAGGUUAUAUCAGUAAUUUACUUCACACUUCCUGCAUAUGCAUUACCUGGGUAUAUGAUUUUUUAAAAAUAAUAUAUUGUUAAAGGAAGGUGUUUUUAAGUGUCUUCUGUUUAUAGAUUUUAUGCUAUGUUACGUUGAUAUUUUACAAAGCCAAGUUCAAAUGUACUAUAGAAAUUAUUUUUAUAUUAUUUUCAGAAAAUGCCACAGAGCAAUAUUUUAUGCCCUGGUGUUGUCACAGGGUUGUCCCCUUGGAGGGCUAACUUUAGGUGGGAGGGGAGGGGCUCCACUGCAGGCUCUUGGGGGUUAAAUGCUUUCUGCUAUUUGUUCAAAUCCCCUCUGAAAGUGGAACUGUGUAAAUGUCUCUUCUUUUUCCAUUGAAAGCUCAAUUUGUUUUCUGUCCAUGGAUUUGGGUACUGCAUCUUUCCUCCUAAACAAAUACUUUCUAUUCACUAAGUUACUGUGGACUUUUUCUUACCUAUCACCACUCGGUGGCUCAAGUGGAGUUCAAGUUUGGAUCUGUUACUUUACAAACUUAAUGUUUUCCAAAGCGAUUUAAUUGAUGCAUUCUAGUAGGUUACUGUCAGGAAUUUAAUGACUCCAGAUAGCAGGGCUCUCCGUUCCCCCAGGAGACACGCCUGGGGGUGCGGAACAGCCCACCAUCUCUGGGGUGGGGCCGUGGCCACUUGGCUCUCACCUCUCCUUAUGUGUCCAUAAGCUUAUUUUGCAAACUACUCGACUUUGCAGAAAUAAACUUAACCAAUCAGCAUAGAUUUCACAUUAGUUAAGAAAAAAGGGCUGUACCCAUCAGUGGUGGGAAAUUUGUGUGAGGAAAAAAAAAAAAAAAAAAAGGCUUUGCCAAACCCAUGUGUGUAAGUUCCAUUCUCUGUGUCUUUCCUGUUUACUAAGAGAUGUGGAGUGACGCGCGUUUGGGAGGGUUUCUUUCUUUAUGACAUGAUUCCGUUUUCCUCCUUGUGGUGUGGAUUUUACAAAUUACAUUCCUCGGGUGUUUUUUUCUUUUUCUUUCUUCCAAUGCUUCUAAUAAAUAAGAAGAAAAUGUGUGUUGUGGCUCAGCGGGCCCUGCCUUGUCAGACCUCGGCCACUGUGGCAUUGCCUCUGUCCAGAGUCUGGUUCUGCUGUCACCUGAAGGCAGGAAGGUCCAAGAGUGGGCCCCAAGGUGGCUGGCACCCCUGGCACCAGGGAGCAGGCAACCUCUUCCAAAAAGCCUUAAAGUGGUGGCUCUCUGGAGACCACUGGGCCCCCCUUCCCUUUAGUCCUAACUAUAAACUCUUUUUCCUGUGAGAACUGGCCCAUUUUACUGUGGAACUCCAGGGUGGUGAGGGGUGCCCAGCUUCAUCCUUGUUUCAGGCACAUCCCCCGCAUCCCCAUGUCUACUUUAUGUGGACAUGGGGUCCUGAUGAUCCAGAGCAUGAUUCUGACAGUAGGUCUGCUGACACGGAGGUGGGUCCAGGGUGCUUCAUACCAGAGAGAUCCACAGGAGUCCCCCACACUCACCCCAGGAGACCGAGAGCCUGCAGGGAGUGCUUCCAGGAACCCCGCUUUGGAAGAGUUUCAGGACAGCUCCAAACGAUGUGCAAAAUGGUAUGUUAGCAGUUACACUGGUAACUUUGUUCCCCCAAACCAGUCCUUUCUCUGCCCUCCACCCCUGGCAGAGAAGAGACAGGGAGCUGCCCUGCCGGGACCCCAAGGGAAUAAGUGCAUGUACACUCUGUGUGAUAUCAAGACACUAUUUCUCCUGCCUCCCCACCCCCACCCCAACCCUGACCCUGGGCUGACUUAACUCACACAGAACUGCAGGAAUAACACAGAAACCAGAAUCUCCAAAUUAGAUUAAAAUGUUACUAUUUCCAUUUAUUUUGCAAAAUAAUGUGCUGAAAUUUUCACUUUCGCUGUUCAAUGCUUG